This 7626-nucleotide long non-coding RNA is filed under the name Malus domestica (apple). Its description in RNAcentral is "long non-coding RNA (MDOM_LNC009983)". The record is from RNAcentral. Lineage: Eukaryota; Viridiplantae; Streptophyta; Magnoliopsida; Rosales; Rosaceae.
GUGUGGAGCCAAAAAUAUUCACUAGGCGACACGUGGACUUUUGGACAAAAGAGGACAAAAAUACCCUCGAGGCAUACCGGGUUUCCUACACGCGAGCAGUAGAGAAUCAUUUUUUCAACCAAGUCAAAAGUGCCCAAAAUAGGUAUCAACUUAAAACCUAAUUUAUUCAUAUAUUUCCCAUUUCAUUAUUUAGCUAAUCAAUUAGCUAAAUAAUAUACUUAUUCCUUUCAUAUUUCAUAAAAUCAUAAUAAAUUGACUAAUUAAGGGAUUAAUUACCUAAUCAAUCCCUUAAUUGUCAAUUUGAAACAUCCACUCAAACCUAAAAACACAAGAGGGCCGGCUAUCCCAUUGAAAAACCUAAUCCAUUACCUUUUUUCUACCUUUUCCCACCAUUUUCUUCCUUUUUAUUAGCCAAUUAUACAAAAAACCACCAAAACAUUCAUUUUAUGUUUAAUAGCCAAAUAAAUUGGCUAAUUAAACCUAAAAACCCUAGCCACCUCCUAUCCCUAUAAAUAUACUCCCAUUCUCACCAAAAAGCUAAUUCCAACACUUUGGUAAAAAUCCCAAAAUUCUCUAAACACUCUUUCUCUCUAAAUUCUAACUUUGGCAUCGGAGGUUCUUCGGCCAAAGCCCCCUCCAUUCAUCGUGGGCGCGUGAGGCUCUUGGCCUUAACCUAAGGUGUUAAUUGUUUUGUAGGUGCAAAAUCGUCCAAGAUCAAGGAGGAAGAAAUUUGCAUCCACAAAUUGGUGCUUUCAUUGAGAGUUGAAAUCCAUACUCGUAGAAGACUCUCGCACAAAAAAGGUUUUUUCUUUAUUUUCUAGUCCAUUUGAAUAUUUUUCAUACGUUCUUAUUAUUAGAAUUUUUUACUUGCAAAGGUUCUUUGAUAAAACGUAUAAGCAAAAUAUAAUGGCUAGAAAUUUAGAAAAUUCCACAAGUGAAAAUUCUAAUGUUCAAGAAAUGGGAUUGCGGAGAUCCGUGAGGCUAAAUGCGACAAUAAGGGGAGCGGCAUCAUCAUCACGAGCUUCAACCAUGGGAACCACCGUGGUGGCUACUUCGGUAGCUACCCGCGGCGAGGUCCAUGGUGCCUUCACCACGGCCACCAUGGGAACCACCGCGGUGGCUACUUCGGUAGCCACUCGUGGCGAGGUCCAUGGAGCCUUCACCACGACCCGGAGAUCCGUAAGGCAAAAUGCGACAAUAAGGGGAGCGGCAUCAUCACCACGAGCUUCCACCAUGGGAACCCACCGUGGUGGCUACCUCGGUAGCCACCCACGGCGAGGUCCAUGAUGCCUUCACCACACGGCCACCAUGGGAACCACCACGAUGGCUACUUCGGUAGCCACUCGUGGCGAGGUCCAUGGAGCCUUCACCACGGCCCGAGCCGUGCCAUCCAAGGCUCACGGUACCAAGACCACGAUCCAAGCCGUGCCAUCCAAGUUCACGUGGACCCAAGCCCAAGCCUCGCAUUCACAUGCACCGCGUAUUGAGCAGCCUACUCCCGUGAUCCAGCCUGCUCCCGUCGAGCAACCCACUCCCGUGGCCCAGCCUGCUCCUGCCAAGCAGCCCACUCCCGUGGCCCAGCCUACUCCUGCCAAGCAGCCUACUUCCGUGGCCCAGCCUGCUCCCGCCAAGCAACCUGCUCCUGCCAAGCAGCCUGCUUCCGUGGCCUAGCCUGCUCCCGCCAAGCAACCUGCUCCUGCCAAGCAGCCUGCUCUCGUGACCCAGCCUGCUCCCAACGAGCAGCCCACUCUCAAGGCCCACACUGCUCCCGUGGCUUUCCAAGCAGCCCAAGUCGGCCCAAAACUAUCUCAACCAUCUGGACCUACCAUCGAGCCGGGGGCAUUCUCACCACAUUUUUUCACGGAUUUGACAUUUCCCAACUCAAAUCUCGCGCCCGGAGUCUACCACCAUUCCACUGCUCAAGGAGGCGCAUUCAUUCCAAGCUCUUCCAAUCCAAAUGGCGAACAACACUUGUCUCGACAAGUCAUAGAGUUGACGAGCGCCCUUGCACAACAGACAACUUUGGUGAAUCAACUUUUGCAACGCAUCGGGAUCCAACAUGCCCCGGACGAGGUAUCCCGAAGUAGGACAAGGGCAGACGAACCUUUCCAGCAGCAUCCCAGCAAGCAGCCAUUCGACCAGCCACGAGUUGAACGUUCAGGCAGUGUACAUUCCCGAUUGGGCCCCCGAGAUAGCGUAUACUCCCGUUUUAGCGCGCGGAUGAGCGUGUACUCUCGACUAAGCCAACGGAUGAGCAUACAUUCACGGUUGGGGUCACACUCCGAUAGUCAACAUGAGCAACCUUCCAGACAAAGUGUUCAUUCGCGGCUAAGCCCACAAGGAGCAUCAUCCACCUCACAUCAGAGUAGGCAGCACGACGGACGGAGAGAAGCAGUCACUCAAUCCAGCUCAAGUUCAACCAGCAGCCUGCGAAGAACUCGCUCGCCUGCUAGGAAUGCACCAUAUGCACUGCAUAUGCGGCAUAAACGAGCCAAACACAUGGAAGAGCAGCCUAGACCAGCAAGUCAUGGCUGGGGGCAGCCGAGAGCUGCACUACCCCAACAAAGGCAAAUUCAGGAAGAAGUAGAGAGACUCUUGACCAAGCGAUUGCAUGAUUUCCAACGCAAUGAGGUCACCGACGAGGCACUACGAUGGAACAUGACCAACAUAAGCAGGUCACCCUUCACGGACGAGAUCGAGCAGGCAGAGCCUCCACGAGAGUUCAGCAUGCCAUAUUUCACAUCUUUCAAAGGGGAUGAAGACCCGGAGAGACACUUAAAGCGCUACCGAAGUGCAAUGAUCCUUUAUCGAAACAACGAUGAGCUCAUGUGCAAGAUAUUCGCCACCACUCUACAAGGCGAGGCGCAAGAUUAGUUCUACACCUUGCCGCCACAAUCCAUCCGGGAUUUCUACGAACUUUCUUUGGUUUUCACCAAAGAAUAUUCAUCCUAUCGCUCGAUCAAAAAGAAGUCUGAUCAUUUGUUCAACGUCAAGAAGAACCCAAAGGAGUCGCUUCGCGACUAUGUGAGGAGGUUCAAAGUAGAGAAGGCAAAAAUAGUCGGAUGCAACGACUCGAUAGCUAGAGCAGCCUUCCAAAAAGGACUUCCAGCAGACCACCCGCUAUUCGGAAAAUUGAUCAUGAAAGAAGAUCUAACUCUGGCAGACUCUUUUGCUUUGGCAGAGAAGUAUGCACUUUGGGAUGAGGCUCGCCAAUGCACAUUCAAGGACUUGAAGAAGUACCCGACAUCACCUCCCUAGAAGCAGUGGAUGACUUAUUCACAUGUUUGACGUUAUCUAAAGUAGCAAUAAGCUCUACCAUCAUGCGAGAAGAGAUGGGGGCCCGACUACCUGUAUUCCACAGUUACCUGUAUUCUACAGUUCAAAAGCUCUCCUCGAUGUUAUUAAAAAUUCAAAAGUUAACUUUGGCGAUAGUUGUUGCAAUAAGCUCUACCAUCAUGCGAGAAGAGAUGGGGGCCCGACUACCUGUAUUCCACAGUUACCUGUAUUCUACAGUUCAAAAGCUCUCCUCAAUGUUAUUAAAAAUUCAAAAGUUAACUUUGGCGAUAGUUGUUGCAACCUAGAAGCACAAAUUUUACUUUCAAACGCAUGCAAUCAUCCUAAUGACGUACUAUUCUGCCCAAUCCAGACGCGCGACGAUAAAGGCGUAGACCCUGGCGGAUGUAAAGUUUUCUGAUGAACGCAACACUGGAAAGACACACUUGAAAGCAAGUUUUAUCCUCGUCACCCUGAAAGAUUCUACAUAGGAGCAACAUGUACCGGCAGUUGAGUACCAUUUCUUGCUGCGCAUCAUACGGCCCUAGCCGACCCUUGCUCAAUGAUUCAACUCUAGAGUGGCCCAAUACCGGCAGUUGAGCAUCUCCUGUUGCGUAUGACAUGGCCCCAUCUCCACAGCUCCCUACUGCACCUUCACGCCGAGCCUAGGUGACGCAACAAAGCGGCCCAACGAUGCCUCAGAAGUAGCCGAGCACACUCUAGCUGCGCCUACUCCACCCGAUGGAGACUUCUGCCAUUUACAUGUCGACGGCGCAGAAAAACCUUCGUCACUGCCGGCAGAGAAGGCUCCAAAAAGAUGGAUCCCAUCUGGGAAGGUCCGUACAAGAUCAGCAGAGUAGGGGGCAAGAGUAAUUACACCCUCACCACCAUGAAGCGGCAAAAAUAUUGAAAAAAAAAUGGAUGGCCUACAAUCUGAAGAAGUACCAUGUGUGACCUCCCGCUACAUCAAAACCCGAAGAUUCAAUAAGCUCGACGGGCACCACCUCACAAGCUGAGGACUAUCCAGUUGUUAUGCAGUUCCUACCUUACAGCUAAAGUUCUCGUUCGUUUUACUCGUUUUUCAAUGAGGAAUUUAGAAGUAAUCACAACUUGGCUUGGUUGCAUGCUUACAACAACUAAUCACUCUUGCACUUCAAAAGAAAACUGCACCCUUCUUAGGGACUCAUCGCAGGAAUUGCGCCCCCCGAGUGACCAACCAUGCUCUCCAGUGCGAGAGGGUAAACCAAUUCUCCGACACCCAUAUGGGUCAACUCUCCAAGACGGGAGGAUAAACUUUACACUCCGAAUAUCCAGACAUGGAUGAGCCUGGCUGCCCUAGUAUAACUAGAUGCACGAUGGCUUGCGCCGGGAUUCCUAGAAGUAGCCGCAAUGGUCUUUUUCAAGGUUUAGCUAACUGAAGGAUUUUGGGUCUCUUGGCCUAAUCCGUGGGGAACCGGGCCCUAGAGACGGAGAGGGCACAUUACGCAGUAUAUCCGAUGGAUGGCUGCCCUGGAAUCCUAAAGCUGCUACCGAGUGCACUAAGGUAGCCUACGGAUUCCGGAAGACUGCCUACGGCUUGCCCUUCGAGCAGUGAAGCCGCACUAGACUUAUACAACCGCACAUUCUUGUGAAAGGUUAGACAAGCUAGCGCGCAUAUACGAAGUUUUAUCCACUGCCGACAUGCUACGUAGUCGAUAAGCUUCACCUCUGCCAAGCGCGGAACAACCUACACUAAGUCCUAAAGUGUUGUGAUACUUGCUACGCAACCUACGGAAUUGAAGAAAGUCAAAGUUAACAGCCUAGUGGUUACGCGGACUUGUCUGCUUCUGUAAGUAAGGCAUCCGGCUGCCAACCCUAUGGCUAACAACUUUGCAAAGUUCUACACCAACACCUACGGCUGCAUAGGCUACGCGAGUUUGUCUGCUUAUAAAAAAGUAGCAUGCCUGCCACUGGUCUAUCAAGUCUAAAGGUUAGGGCAUGAACAAAAAAAGUGAAGAUGAAGAAAAACGAAGGAAAACAUAUUUAUAAACAACUAGCAAAGGUUGAAGGAGUUCAAGCAAAACAAAAGCUACAAGGAAAAACAAAGAAAAUCCUAAAGGCUACCUAAAAUACUACACUACAGCAGCUUGGACAUUCCACGACUACUCGGUCGCCACACCUUCAACAGCCGUAACGCUCUUAGCAGCGGCAUCAUUCGGCGCUUCACCCCCGGCCGCCCCAGUCUGGGCACUAACUUCUCCAACUACUUCACCAAUGGAAGCCUUAAAAGUAAAAGCAAGCAAGUCUUCCGGAGAAAUAGAGAAGCUCAUCCACUCUCUUCUUAGCAUAAGUAGCGAAACGAAGCUCAGAAAUUGCAAGCUUAAGAUCUUGAAUCUGAGGCGAAUAAAUCUCAGCAGCAAAGGGAGCAGGCUUUGGCGCCACUUUAGCAGCAGAGUCCACCUUACCACUCUUCAUAAUAGCAAGUCUCUACAAAGGUGAACCGGACUUGGCUCCCAAAGAACGUCCUACAGACUUCGGCACUGGGGGCAUGAUAAAACCUUUACGCUGAGUAAUCUUAUCCACAAUUGUACUAGCCAUUCUCAACAUGGAAGACGCCACAUGCUCAGAUUUAGCAGCCUUACAUUUCUUCCCAUUGGAAAAUCAUGUCAAUCACAUACCUCUCGGUAGCAAGCGGACCCUCAUGAGCAGCAGAAGAAGUCUUCAGUUUUUUCUUAACUGGCAUCUCAUGAGCAGGCGGGGAAGAUCUCUUCUUUCCAUCUUCAUUCAUAGUAAGCUCCACGACAGCGAUCAGACGAGCCAAUGCAUCCGCCUUGAUCAUCUUUACCUCCUCUUUCUGGAGCAGCCCACAUUUCUUUCGGCAAAGAGGACUAAGCAGCCAACGACAUUCAUGGUACUCAGCAGGGGAGCUCAACCUAGCAUUCCAACAGGCAGGAGGCCUGCAUGCCCAACAUUCCAGCAGCCCAUGAGACCCGCAAUCUCCUUAUUUCUCUCAAUCACCAGCCUGGCCCGAGUCAGGUCCAAGAGCCCAAAGGACAUGAGCCAUGCGGCUCGCCUAGCACUGCGCCCCAGCGCCACAAUCCGCGACCCUAGUUGCAUAAGCUGCCUUUUGGCUCAAGCCAAGCCAAGCUGCCCAAGCAGUGGUCCCUGCCACAACAUCUCCUCGGCCCAUGCCGAGCCAACUCCUGGCCCCUGCCAGCCGAUGUGCCGCACCACCCCGACGGCUGCCCCGCAAUAGCACUAUCCAAGAAUAAGGCAAGAAAAAUUAAAUUUUUCUUACAUCGGUGCGGCACGAAGAAGACGAAGAAAGCAACGAAAGACGGUCCUUUGCACGGGCAAGAUGUAGAAGAUUGCUAGAGGAGGGGGAACAAAUAUCCUCUAAGCUAUCUCUCUCUUGUAGGGUAGAAUAAAUCGCUCUCCAAAGUUGAUUUAAUAACCCACUUAAGGUGGACUUAAAUAGGCUUUGAGAGAAAUUUAUUUCCCUUUCCUAGAAGGAUUUAAUUUCCUAUUAAAGAGAGAAUCAACAUCAAAAUAGGAAGCAGUCUUAAGUUUCCUAAAGCAAGAAGAUCUCUACACCUGCUGCCCUUUUUUGCGAGCAGCCCAACAGGUGUGGGGGCAUUUGUGGAGCCAAAAAUAUUCACUAGGCGACACAUGGACUUUUGGACAAAAGAGGACAAAAAUACCCUCGAGGCAUACCGGGUUUCCUACACGCGAGCAGUAGAGAAUCAUUUUUUCAACCAAGUCAAAAGUGCCCAAAAUAGGUAUCAACUUAAAACCUAAUUUAUUCAUAUAUUUCCCAUUUCAUUAUUUAGCUAAUCAAUUAGCUAAAUAAUAUACUUAUUCCUUUCAUAUUUCAUAAAAUCAUAAUAAAUUGACUAAUUAAGGGAUUAAUUACCUAAUCAAUCCCUUAAUUGUCAAUUUGAAACAUCCACUCAAACCUAAAAACACAAGAGGGCCGGCUAUCCCAUUGAAAAACCUAAUCCAUUACCUUUUUUCUACCUUUUCCCACCAUUUCUUCCUUUUUAUUAGCCAAUUAUACAAAAAACCACCAAAACAUUCAUUUUAUGUUUAAUAGCCAAAUAAAUUGGCUAAUUAAACCUAAAAACCCUAGCCACCUCCUAUCCCUAUAAAUAUACUCCCAUUCUCACCAAAAAGCUAAUUCCAACACUUUGGUAAAAAUCCCAAAAUUCUCUAAACACUCUUUCUCUCUAAAUUCUAACUUUGGCAUCGGAGGUUCUUCGGCCAAAGCCUCCCCCAUUCAUCGUGGGCGCGUGAGGCUCUUGGCCUUAACCUAAGGUGUUAAUUGUUUUGUAGGUGCAAAAUCGUCCAAGAUCAAGGAGGAAGAAAUUUGCAUCC